AGAUUGAACGCUGGCGGCAUGCCUAACACAUGCAAGUCGAACGGCAGCACAGCAGUAGCAAUACUGUGGGUGGCGAGUGGCGGACGGGUGAGUAAUGCAUCGGGACCUACCUGAACGUGGGGGAUAACGUAGGGAAACUUACGCUAAUACCGCAUACGUCCUACGGGAGAAAGCGGGGGAUCUUCGGACCUCGCGCGGUCAGACGGACCGAUGUUCGAUUAGCUAGUUGGUAAGGUAAUGGCUUACCAAGGCGACGAUCGAUAGCUGGUCUGAGAGGAUGAUCAGCCACACUGGAACUGAGACACGGUCCAGACUCCUACGGGAGGCAGCAGUGGGGAAUAUUGGACAAUGGGCGCAAGCCUGAUCCAGCAAUGCCGCGUGCAGGAGGAAGGUUUUCGGAUCGUAAACUGCUUUUCGUCGGGGACGAGCAAGGACGGUACCCGAGGAACGAAGCCCCGGGCUAACUACGUGCCAGCGAGCCGC
Molecule: ribosomal RNA, 483 nt
Filed under: uncultured bacterium
Lineage: Bacteria
Description: SSU rRNA
Rfam family: Bacterial small subunit ribosomal RNA
Source: RNAcentral